UCUCCGUAGGUGAACCUGCGGAAGGAUCAUUGUCGAAACCUGCCCAGCAGAACGACCCGCGAACUUGUAUAAACAACCGGGGGCGGGGGGCGUUCUCGCCCCGUGCCCCCGAACGGCGGGGAGACACUCGUGCCUUCCUGCCGAACAACGAACCCCGGCGCGGUCUGCGCCAAGGAACUUCAACUAAAGAGUGCCUCCGGUCGCCUCGGAAACGGCGUGCGUGCCGGGGGCGAAUCUUGUGCAAAACCAUAACGACUCUCGGCAACGGAUAUCUCGGCUCUC
This 282-nucleotide unclassified non-coding RNA is filed under the name plant metagenome. RNAcentral's name for it is "partial contains small subunit ribosomal RNA, internal transcribed spacer 1, and 5.8S ribosomal RNA". The record is from RNAcentral.